Molecule: ribosomal RNA, 409 nt
Filed under: uncultured microorganism
Description: bacterial SSU rRNA
Rfam family: Archaeal small subunit ribosomal RNA
Source: RNAcentral
GUGCACCAGGCGCGAAAACUUUACAAUGUGCGAAAGCACGAUAAGGGAACUCUGAGUGCCUCCUAAGGAGGCUGUUCUGAUGUCUAAAAGCAACAGAAGUAAGGGCUGGGUAAGACCGGUGCCAGCCGCCGCGGUAACACCGGCAGCCCAAGUGGUAGCCACGUUUAUUGGGUCUAAAGCGUUCGUAGCCGGCCAGGUAAGUUCCUUGGUAAAUUUAGCCGCUUAACGGUUAAGCUUUCAGGGAAUACUGCUUGGCUUGGGACUGGGAGAGGUCAGAGGUACUCCGGGGGUAGGGGUGAAAUCUAUUAAUCCCUGGGGGACCACCGGUAGCGAAGGCGUCUGACCAGACCAGGUCCGACGGUGAGGGACGAAGGCUAGGGGCGCGAACCGGAUUAGAUACCCGUGUAGU